Molecule: ribosomal RNA, 665 nt
Filed under: uncultured cyanobacterium
Lineage: Bacteria; Bacillati; Cyanobacteriota
Description: bacterial SSU rRNA
Rfam family: Bacterial small subunit ribosomal RNA
Source: RNAcentral
CGGACGGGUGAGUAACGCGUGAGAAUCUGGCUUCAGGUCUGGGACAACCACUGGAAACGGUGGCUAAUACCGGAUGUGCCCUUCGGGGUGAAAGGUUAACUGCCUGAAGAUGAGCUCGCGUCUGAUUAGCUAGUUGGAAGUGUAAUGGACUCCCAAGGCGACGAUCAGUAGCUGGUCUGAGAGGACGAUCAGCCACACUGGGACUGAGACACGGCCCAGACUCCUACGGGAGGCAGCAGUGGGGAAUUUUCCGCAAUGGGCGAAAGCCUGACGGAGCAAUACCGCGUGAGGGAGGAAGGCCCUUGGGUCGUAAACCUCUUUUCUCAGGGAAGAACACAAUGACGGUACCUGAGGAAUAAGCAUCGGCUAACUCCGUGCCAGCAGCCGCGGUAAUACGGAGGAUGCAAGCGUUAUCCGGAAUGAUUGGGCGUAAAGCGUCCGCAGGUGGCAAUGUAAGUCUGCUGUUAAAGAGUCUAGCUCAACUAGAUAAGAGCAGUGGAAACUACAUAGCUAGAGUACGUUCGGGGCAGAGGGAAUUCCUGGUGUAGCGGUGAAAUGCGUAGAGAUCAGGAAGAACACCAGUGGCGAAGGCGCUCUGCUAGGCCGUAACUGACACUGAGGGACGAAAGCUAGGGGAGCGAAUGGGAUUAGAUACCCCAGUAGUC